RNAcentral lists this ribosomal RNA (500 nucleotides) under uncultured bacterium. RNAcentral describes it as "partial 16S ribosomal RNA". It matches the Rfam family "Bacterial small subunit ribosomal RNA", at positions 30 to 523 of the family's 1533-position model. The record is from RNAcentral.
AUUGAACGCUGGCGGCAUGCCUUACACAUGCAAGUCGAACGGCAGCACGGGAGCAAUCCUGGUGGCGAGUGGCGAACGGGUGAGUAAGGCAUCGGAACGUGCCCAGUCGUGGGGGAUAACGUAGCGAAAGCUACGCUAAUACCGCAUACGAUCUGUGGAUGAAAGCGGGGGACCGUAAGGCCUUGCGCGAUUGGAGCGGCCGAUGUCAGAUUAGGUAGUUGGUGGGGUAAAGGCUCACCAAGCCGACGAUCUGUAGCUGGUCUGAGAGGACGACCAGCCACACUGGGACUGAGACACGGCCCAGACUCCUACGGGAGGCAGCAGUGGGGAAUUUUGGACAAUGGGCGCAAGCCUGAUCCAGCAAUGCCGCGUGCAGGAUGAAGGCCUUCGGGUUGUAAACUGCUUUUGUACGGAGCGAAAAGGCUUCCACUAAUACUGGGGGCUAAUGACGGUACCGUAAGAAUAAGCACCGGCUAACUCUGUGCCAGCAGCCGCCGUAA